RNAcentral lists this ribosomal RNA (350 nucleotides) under uncultured Propionibacterium sp. RNAcentral's name for it is "bacterial SSU rRNA". It matches the Rfam family "Bacterial small subunit ribosomal RNA", at positions 870 to 1218 of the family's 1533-position model. Lineage: Bacteria; Bacillati; Actinomycetota; Actinomycetes; Propionibacteriales; Propionibacteriaceae. The record is from RNAcentral.
CGCCUGGGGAGUGCGGCCGCAAGGCUAAAACUCAAAGGAAUUGACGGGGCCCCGCACAAGCGGCGGAGCAUGCGGAUUAAUUCGAUGCAACGCGUAGAACCUUACCUGGGUUUGACAUGGAUCGGGAGUGCUCAGAGAUGGGUGUGCCUCUUUUGGGGUCGGUUCACAGGUGGUGCAUGGCUGUCGUCAGCUCGUGUCGUGAGAUGUUGGGUUAAGUCCCGCAACGAGCGCAACCCUUGUUCACUGUUGCCAGCACGUUAUGGUGGGGACUCAGUGGAGACCGCCGGGGUCAACUCGGAGGAAGGUGGGGAUGACGUCAAGUCAUCAUGCCCCUUAUGUCCAGGGCUUCA